This 28-nucleotide small RNA is filed under the name Bombyx mori (domestic silkworm). RNAcentral describes it as "ovarian small RNA-20938". Lineage: Eukaryota; Metazoa; Arthropoda; Insecta; Lepidoptera; Bombycidae. The record is from RNAcentral.
UACCUUUAAAUGAAAGAAAUACGGGUGG